Mustela putorius furo (domestic ferret) is the source of this 126-nucleotide small nucleolar RNA. The record is from Ensembl. Lineage: Eukaryota; Metazoa; Chordata; Mammalia; Carnivora; Mustelidae.
UGCACUUGUGCUGUUUUUGUUUAGUUUGUGAACAAAUACUUAGAUCAAGUGCAAAAAAUAAAUCCUCUUUUGCAACCCAGAACUCGUGGCGCAGUAUGAGUCCUGAUACAGAUAAGAAGGAAUAGG